RNAcentral lists this ribosomal RNA (1035 nucleotides) under metagenome. RNAcentral describes it as "bacterial SSU rRNA". It matches the Rfam family "Bacterial small subunit ribosomal RNA", at positions 18 to 951 of the family's 1533-position model. The record is from RNAcentral.
CCUGGCUCANGAUGAACGCUGGCGGCAUGCCUGACACAUGCAAGUCGAACGGAGGCACAAGCCUCAGUGGCGAACGGGUGCGUAACGCGUGAGUACCUACCCCCAGGAAGUAAGGACAACUUACGGAAACGUUUGCUAAUACUUCAUAAGUCGAAAGAUGAAAGGAUUCCCCCUGGGGAUGGGCUUGCGUCCGAUUAGCUAGUUGGGGGGGUAACGGCUCACCAAGGCCACGAUCGGUAGCUGGUUUGAGAGAAUGGCCAGCCACAUUGGGACUGAGACACGGCCCAGACUCCUUCGGGAGGCAGCAGUGAGGAAUCUUCCGCAAUGGGCGAAAGCCUGACGGAGCAAUGUCGCGUGGGGGAAGAAGAACCUUGGUUUGUAAACUCCUUUUACUGGGGAAGAAUUCCGGCGUUCUUUAGUUGGAGAGCCGACCCUUCAAAUGACUAAGGACUUUAGCGUGGCUAAGGACUUUAGCGUCGCUAAGGACUACACGCCGGGCAGAAAGGCAGCAAGGCAAGGCGGGUCGAAUCUUCCCUGCCCAUCGCCUCGCCGUCCUCUGAACAACAACCCAGAGAAUAAGCAUCGGCUAACUCCGUGCCAGCAGCCGCGGUAAUACGGGGGAUGCGAGCGUUAUCCGGAAUUAUUGGGCGUAAAGCGCCUGCAGGCCGUUUGGUAAGUCUGGGGUCAAAUGCCACGGCCUAACCCUGGAAAGGCAACAGGAACUGCCAAACUGGAGGGUGGUAGAGGUAGAGGGAACUCCUAGUGUAGCGGUAAAAUGCGUAGAUAUUAGGAAGAACACCGGCGGCGAAGGCGCUCUACUGGACCAUUACUGACGCUCAGAGGCGAAAGCUGGGGGAGCGAGAGGGAUUAGGUACCCCUGUAGUCCCGGCCGUAAACGAUGGGUACUAAGCGCUGGACGUCUACCAGUGCUGUAGUUAACGCGUCAAGUACCCCGCCUGGGGAGUACGCUCGCAAGGGUGAAACUCAAAGGAAUUGACGGGGGCCCGCACAAGCGGUGGAGCAUGUGGUUUAAUU